Molecule: ribosomal RNA, 270 nt
Filed under: uncultured bacterium
Lineage: Bacteria
Description: partial 16S ribosomal RNA
Rfam family: Bacterial small subunit ribosomal RNA
Source: RNAcentral
AUACGUGCCAGCAGCCGCGGUAAUACGUAUGGUGCAAGCGUUAUCCGGAUUUACUGGGUGUAAAGGGAGCGUAGACGGAUAGGCAAGUCUGAAGUGAAAGCCCGGGGCUCAACCCCGGGACUGCUUUUGAAACUGCCGGACUAGAUUGCAGGAGAGGUAAGUGGAAUUCCCAGUGUAGCGGUGAAAUGCGUAGAUAUUAGGAGGAACACCAGUGGCGAAGGCGGCUUACUGGACUGUAAAUGACGCUGAGGCUCGAAAGCGUGGGGAGCA